CUUAUUGUUAUCCUUCUGGGCCUCUGGAGACUCCUGAAAUGCUUUAUUGGGGCUAGAGAAAGGAAACAAUGCAUCAGGGAGGCUGUUUCAGAGACGCAAGCUCUCACAGGCAGACAGCCAAAAGAGGCAGAAGUCUGAAAAAAGAGCUGGAAAAACUUCUGGUGAUUCUUCCCUCAUUUAGAAUUUUAGAGCCCACUGAGGCAACAGCAGAAAGAAAUCACUGUCCCUCCUCAGGGAUGUGAUUGCUGAGGGCAAGCAGUGCUGCCUUAAGCUUACUUACAUAGCCUAGUUUAGAUGUUCAUCUAAUCCAGCUCCAAUGCUUUGAAUGAACAAUUUGGUUGGAACCGAAGUGAUACUGGUGCUUGGAUAAAUGCCAGCUUGCUGAUCCUCUGUCUGAUGAAUACUGAAGAAAACAACUGGAAGACUUGGCAGAAAUUACAUCAGCAUCCCUGAUUGAGAGUGUGCACCUGCCACUUGCUGUUCAGCUGGCCAUAAGAUCCAGACAUUCCUAUCCCUCUGAAGAGGAUCUGAAUCUAGGAACUAUGGCAGAAGUGAGAAAGGAUCCUGGGGAAUAACUAGCAUACAUGAAGAUGCUCAAGUAUUAAGGACGCUAGUGAUGUGAAAGCCCUGACUUGUUCCUGGUCUGGUAGUGAUCUGGUGCACUUGUGCUAGCAGAAGUAUCAGAACAGUGUAGAAGAAUUGUCCUUCCUCUUGACAACUUGCCAUCCCAUACCCAAGUACUUAGAGUGCUAGCUUAAUGGGAGAUCCACAUUCUCUGCUUGCCUUGGAGAACGACUCCAACUCUUGCCUCAGAGAAGAUAAGGUUACAAUAGCACUAUAUGAAUCUUUUAAGAAGCCCUUGCCCUUGCGGUGUGAAGAGAGUAUGGAAGAGUACUGCUUUGGGAAAAAAAUAAUAGCAAUGUUUCAGUCAACCUAGGCAGGUGAAGAAGAUAGAGUAGCAAGGGUCAAGGUUUUGUUUAAUCUUUGUUAGAGAAGGAUUUGAACCCAAGUCUCUCACAACUGUUGGCUGUUGAAUGAUGGAGAAGCCAAUUGCGUCCACUUCUGCAUCUCCUGAGAGAGGAUAGAUGUGGUGGCAGCUCUGAGCCAAUGAGCCACCACCCAGUUCGUAGGUAGUGAGCACCUCUCUUUUAGAUGCUUCCCAUCACUUGAGGAGCCUCCACACUUAUUUUCCUUGAACCUCAUUGAGAAGUACCUCAUUCUUCUAUAUGAAGUACCAGGAUACUGUAUAUUACAAAGGACUGUGAGUUCUAAUAUAUGCCAGCCCACAUGAUUUCAGUACCUGAGUCUCUGAAUGGAUUAGCUCCUGACUGCUGUAUGCUUCAGUUCACCUUUGAUACGGGCAUUAACAUUGAAGUCUGAACUCUCAGUGGUGAUGUAGAAGACAAACGCAUGAAAGAUUGUCCAGUACUGAGACACUGUUGUGAGGUGGCAAUAGAAGUAGCUAAGGUAAGUCAUGAGGAAGAGUCUGUAUCACGUACAACUAUCGUUCAUCCACCUCAAGGAAGCCCUAAGCAUUUCCAAUGCAACGGGAUUCUGCAUAUUUCAACAUUACUCAAUCAGCGUGAGAUUUUCAAUAGCACCCCUUGGAGGGUCAGACUGAGCACCAGCAAGGAGCACAAGGAAUUAUUUUCCAAGAAAAAUGGUUGGGACUAAGCAUUAAACAAUGUACUUGACCAUCAUGCUUUAGCAUUAAAACACAUUUCU
This is a long non-coding RNA of Gallus gallus (chicken), 1725 nucleotides long. Lineage: Eukaryota; Metazoa; Chordata; Aves; Galliformes; Phasianidae. The record is from Ensembl.